GAAAGCGUGGCUAAUACCGGGUAUUGUCCCCUAGACUGUGGUUUUGGGGAUAAAAGGUGACCUCUUCAUGAAAGUUGCCGUUCGAGGAGGGGCUCGCGUACCAUUAGCUUGUUGGUAGGGUAAUGGCCUACCAAGGCUGCGAUGGUUAGCUGGUCUGAGAGGAUGAUCAGCCACACUGGAACUGAAACACGGUCCAGACUCCUACGGGAGGCAGCAGUGAGGAAUUUUGCGCAAUGGGGGAAACCCUGACGCAGCAACGCCGCGUGAGUGAAGAAGGCUUUCGGGUCGUAAAGCUCUGUUAAGUGGGAAAAAAUACUCUCGAUCAAUAGUCGGGGGGACUGAUGGUACCACUAGAGGAAGCACCGGCUAACUCCGUGCCAGCAGCCGCGGUAAUACGGAGGGUGCGAGCGUUGUUCGGAAUUACUGGGCGUAAAGCGCGUGCAGGCGGUUUGGCAAGUCAGAUGUGAAAGCCCUGGGCUUAACCCAGGAAGUGCAUUUGAAACUGCCUUUCUAGAGUAUGGGAGAGGAGAGUGGAAUUCCCAGUGU
RNAcentral lists this ribosomal RNA (546 nucleotides) under uncultured bacterium. Its description in RNAcentral is "bacterial SSU rRNA". It matches the Rfam family "Bacterial small subunit ribosomal RNA", at positions 153 to 676 of the family's 1533-position model. The record is from RNAcentral.